GUCUACAUCUGUAUCACCCUGAACGCACCUAAUCUCAUCUGGUCUCAAAAGCUAAGCAGGGUCAGGGCUGGUUAGUACUUAGAUGAAAGACAGACCUUCAGAAGAGACUGCUCAGAGACAAGCAAUUUGGAGACA
This 135-nucleotide ribosomal RNA is filed under the name Castor canadensis (American beaver). Lineage: Eukaryota; Metazoa; Chordata; Mammalia; Rodentia; Castoridae. The record is from RNAcentral.